AGAGUUUGAUCCUGGCUCAGAUUGAACGCUGGCGGAAUGCUUUACACAUGCAAGUCGAACGGCAGCACGGGAGCUUGCUCCUGGUGGCGAGUGGCGAACGGGUGAGUAAUACAUCGGAACGUACCCAGUCGUGGGGGAUAACACAUUCAAAGAUGUGCUAAUACCGCAUACGACCUGAGGGUGAAAGGGGGGAUCGCAAGACCUCUCGCGAUUGGAGCGGCCGAUGUCGGAUUAGCUAGUUGGUAGGGUAAAGGCCUACCAAGGCGACGAUCCGUAGCUGGUCUGAGAGGAUGAUCAGCCACACUGGAACUGAGAUACGGUCCAGACUCCUACGGGAGGCAGCAGUGGGGAAUUUUGGACAAUGGGGGCAACCCUGAUCCAGCCAUUCCGCGUGAGUGAAGAAGGCCUUCGGGUUGUAAAGCUCUUUCAGCUGGAACGAAACGGUGUGCUCUAACAUAGCGCGCUAAUGACGGUACCAGCAGAAGAAGCACCGGCUAACUACGUGCCAGCAGCCGCGGUAAUACGUAGGGUGCGAGCGUUAAUCGGAAUUACUGGGCGUAAAGCGUGCGCAGGCGGAUUGUUAAGCAAGACGUGAAAUCCCCGGGCUUAACCUGGGAAUGGCGUUUUGAACUGGCAGUCUAGAGUGCGUCAGAGGGGGGUGGAAUUCCACGUGUAGCAGUGAAAUGCGUAGAGAUGUGGAGGAACACCGAUGGCGAAGGCAGCCCCCUGGGAUGACACUGACGCUCAUGUACGAAAGCGUGGGUAGCAAACAGGAUUAGAUACCCUGGUAGUCCACGCCCUAAACGAUGUCAACUGGUUGUUGGGGGAGUGAAAUCCCUUAGUAACGAAGCUAACGCGUGAAGUUGACCGCCUGGGGAGUACGGUCGCAAGAUUAAAACUCAAAGGAAUUGACGGGGACCCGCACAAGCGGUGGAUGAUGUGGAUUAAUUCGAUGCAACGCGAAAAACCUUACCUACCCUUGACAUGUCCGGAAUCCUGCUGAGAGGUGGGAGUGCCCGAAAGGGAAUCGGAACACAGGUGCUGCAUGGCUGUCGUCAGCUCGUGUCGUGAGAUGUUGGGUUAAGUCCCGCAACGAGCGCAACCCUUAUCAUUAGUUGCUACGCAAGGGCACUCUAAUGAGACUGCCGGUGACAAACCGGAGGAAGGUGGGGAUGACGUCAAGUCCUCAUGGCCCUUAUGGGUAGGGCUUCACACGUCAUACAAUGGUCGGUACAGAGGGUUGCCAAGCCGCGAGGUGGAGCCAAUCCCAGAAAGCCGAUCGUAGUCCGGAUUGUUCUCUGCAACUCGAGAGCAUGAAGUCGGAAUCGCUAGUAAUUCCCGGAUCAGCAUGUCGCGGUGAAUACGUUCCCGGGUCUUGUACACACCGCCCAUCACACCAUGGGAGUGGAAUCUGGCAGAAGUAGGUAGCCUAACCGCGAGGGGGGCGCUUACCACGCUGGGUUUCAUGACUGGGGUGAAGUCG
This 1483-nucleotide ribosomal RNA is filed under the name uncultured bacterium. RNAcentral describes it as "16S ribosomal RNA". It matches the Rfam family "Bacterial small subunit ribosomal RNA". The record is from RNAcentral.